UGUGGCUGGGGGUGAAAGGCCAAUCAAACCGGGAGAUAGCUGGUUCUCCCCGAAAGCUAUUUAGGUAGCGCCUCGUGAACUCAUCUUCGGGGGUAGAGCACUGUUUCGGCUAGGGGGUCAUCCCGACUUACCAACCCGAUGCAAACUGCGAAUACCGAAGAAUGUUAUCACGGGAGACACACGGCGGGUGCUAACGUCCGUCGUGAAGAGGGAAACAACCCAGACCGCCAGCUAAGGUCCCAAAGUCACAGUUAAGUGGGAAACGAUGUGGGAAGGCUCAGACAGCCAGGAUGUUGGCUUAGAAGCAGCCAUCAUUUAAAGAAAGCGUAAUAGCUCACUGGUCGAGUCGGCCUGCGCGGAAGAUGUAACGGGGCUAAACUGUGCACCGAAGCUGCGGCAGCGACGCUUAUGCGUUGUUGGGUAGGGGAGCGUUCUGUAAGCCUGCGAAGGUGUCCUGUGAGGGAUGCUGGAGGUAUCAGAAGUGCGAAUGCUGACAUAAGUAACGAUAAUGCGGGUGAAAAGCCCGCUCGCCGGAAGACCAAGGGUUCCUGUCCAACGUUAAUCGGGGCAGGGUGAGUCGACCCCUAAGGCGAGGCCGAAAGGCGUAGUCGAUGGGAAACGGGUUAAUAUUCCCGUACUUGGUGUUACUGCGAAGGGGGGACGGAGAAGGCUAUGUUGGCCGGGCGACGGUUGUCCCGGUUUAAGCGUGUAGGCUGGUUUUCCAGGCAAAUCCGGAAAAUCAAGGCUGAGGCGUGAUGACGAGGCACUACGGUGCUGAAGCAACAAAUGCCCUGCUUCCAGGAAAAGCCUCUAAGCAUCAGGUAACAUCAAAUCGUACCCCAAACCGACACAGGUGGUCAGGU
Molecule: ribosomal RNA, 863 nt
Filed under: Salmonella enterica subsp. enterica serovar Kentucky
Lineage: Bacteria; Pseudomonadati; Pseudomonadota; Gammaproteobacteria; Enterobacterales; Enterobacteriaceae
Description: partial 23S ribosomal RNA
Rfam family: Bacterial large subunit ribosomal RNA
Source: RNAcentral